RNAcentral lists this ribosomal RNA (1241 nucleotides) under metagenome. Its description in RNAcentral is "bacterial SSU rRNA". It matches the Rfam family "Bacterial small subunit ribosomal RNA", at positions 267 to 1498 of the family's 1533-position model. The record is from RNAcentral.
ACCAAGGCGACGAUGGGUAGCCGGCCUGAGAGGGUGACCGGCCACACUGGGACUGAGAUACGGCCCAGACUCCUACGGGAGGCAGCAGUCGAGAAGCUUCGGCAAUGGGCGAAAGCCUGACCGAGCGACGCCGCGUGAGCGAAGAAGGCCCUAUGGGUUGUAAAGCUCUGUCAGAUUGGGAAGAAAACCUUACGGUUAAUACCCGUGAGGCUUGACGGUACCUUCAGAGGAAGCACCGGCUAACUCCGUGCCAGCAGCCGCGGUAAUACGGAGGGUGCAAGCGUUGUUCGGAUUCACUGGGUAUAAAGGGUGCGCAGGCGGCCUGAUAAGUCAGGGGUGAAAUAUGACGGCUCAACCGUCAAACUGCCCCUGAAACUGCCAGGCUUGAGUCCGGGAGAGGUAGGUGGAAUUCCAGGUGUAGCGGUGAAAUGCGUAAAUAUCUGGAGGAACACCGGUGGCGAAGGCGGCCUACUGGCCCGGAACUGACGCUCAGGCACGAAAGCUAGGGGAGCGAACGGGAUUAGAUACCCCGGUAGUCCUAGCCGUAAACGAUGGGCACUAGGUGUUGGAGGAGUCUACCCCUUCAGUGCCGCAGCUAACGCAUUAAGUGCCCCACCUGGGGAGUACGAUCGCAAGGUUGAAACUCAAAGGAAUUGACGGGGGCCCUCACAAGCGGUGGAGCAUGUGGUUUAAUUCGAUGCAACGCGAAGAACCUUACCUGGACUUGACAUGCAGGGGACAGGUGUAGAAAUACACCCUUCUUCGGACCCUUGUACAGGUGCUGCAUGGCUGUCGUCAGCUCGUGUCGUGAAAUGUUGGGUUAAGUCCCGCAACGAGCGCAACCCCUGUUUUCAGUUGCCAUCAGGUUAUGCUGGGGACUCUGGAGAGACUGCCGGUGACAAACCGGAGGAAGGUGGGGACGACGUCAAGUCAUCAUGGCCCUUACGUCCAGGGCUACACACGUGCUACAAUGGCUGGUACAAAGGGCUGCAAUACUGCGAAGUGGAGCGAAUCCCAAAAAGCCAGCCUCAGUUCGGAUUGGAGUCUGCAACUCGACUCCAUGAAGUUGGAAUCGCUAGUAAUCGCGUAUCAGAACGACGCGGUGAAUACGUUCCCGGGCCUUGUACACACCGCCCGUCAAGUCAACCGAGUUGGCUGCACCCCAAGUCGCUGAGCUAACCCGUAAGGGAGGCAGGUGCCCAAGGUGUGGUUGAUAAGGGGGACUAAGUCGGAACAAGGUA